RNAcentral lists this transfer RNA (72 nucleotides) under Camelus bactrianus (Bactrian camel). It matches the Rfam family "tRNA". From Rfam's summary of the family: Transfer RNA (tRNA) molecules are approximately 80 nucleotides in length. Lineage: Eukaryota; Metazoa; Chordata; Mammalia; Artiodactyla; Camelidae. The record is from Rfam by way of RNAcentral. RNAcentral also lists the same sequence under 2 other names.
GAGGGUAUAGCUCAGUGGUAGAGUGGAUGCUUAGCAAGCAUGAGGUCCUGGGUUCAAUCCCCAGUAUCCUUG